GGUACUUGUAUCAGAAUGAAGAGUAGCGAACGGGUGAGUAACGCGUGGGUAACCUACCUCUUAGCGGGGGACAACUAUUGGAAACGAUAGCUAAUACCGCAUAACAAUAUUAAACACAUGUUUAACAUUUGAAAGUACCAAUUGGUACACUAGGAGAUGGACCCGCGUUGUAUUAGCUAGUUGGUAGUGUAAUGGACUACCAAGGCGAUGAUACAUAGCCGACCUGAGAGGGUGAUCGGCCACAUUGGGACUGAGACACGGCCCAAACUCCUACGGGAGGCAGCAGUAGGGAAUCUUCGGCAAUGGACGAAAGUCUGACCGAGCAACGCCGCGUGAGUGAAGAAGGUUUUCGGAUCGUAAAACUCUGUUGUUAGAGAAGAACGUUGUGUAGAGUGGAAAAUUACACAAGUGACGGUAUCUAACCAGAAAGGGACGGCUAACAACGUGCCAGCAGCCGCGGUAAUACGUAGGUCCCGAGCGUUGUCCGGAUUUAUUGGGCGUAAAGCGAGCGCAGGUGGUUUAAUAAGUCUGAUGUAAAAGGCAGUGGCUCAACCAUUGUGUGCAUUGGAAACUGUUAGACUUGAGUGCAGUAGAGGAGAGUGGAAUUCCAUGUGUAGCGGUGAAAUGCGUAGAUAUAUGGAGGAACACCGGUGGCGAAAGCGGCUCUCUGGACUGUAACUGACACUGAGGCUCGAAAGCGUGGGUAGCAAACAGGAUUAGAUACCCUGGUAGUCCACGCCGUAAACGAUGAGU
Molecule: ribosomal RNA, 753 nt
Filed under: uncultured bacterium
Lineage: Bacteria
Description: bacterial SSU rRNA
Rfam family: Bacterial small subunit ribosomal RNA
Source: RNAcentral